Xyrichtys novacula (pearly razorfish) is the source of this 2647-nucleotide non-coding RNA. Lineage: Eukaryota; Metazoa; Chordata; Actinopteri; Labriformes; Labridae. The record is from the annotation of a GenBank genome assembly.
UCCUUUCAUUGUGAUUUUAUUUUUUAACCGUAUUGAUGUGAAAGAGAAAAUCUCGUAAUUCAUGACUGCAGUUUACAGCAUAUUCAUAUACGUAUAUAUAUAAAAAAUCCAGUUUCUGAGCUGUUUCCACAUGUUACAAAAUAAACCAGAUCAAGUGAUUAUCAAUAACAACAUUAACAGACUUGCACUUAAGAGGCCAUCUGAACAACACUCCUUCCAUGGUAAUCACAGGCCAUACUAAUCAAUGAGAGAAUAAUACACAAGCACCUGGUUUCGAUCAAUCAAAUCAGUGAGGGAAAUUCAUGGUGAGCAACAAUAAACUCUGGCACCAGACCAGUGGUAUGUGUCUGAUGUCUCAGGAAAGAGUGAGUCGAACAUCUUAUUAGAUACAGUUCUAUAUUGCUGCUGGUUCAAAAGCAUGGAUUAAAAAACGUACUAUAAUGCAGAAACUAUUCAGCUGAAAUCGCAUCUAACUUUGGGCAAACUCAAAGCACCACUGCCACAAAUUAUUUGUCACAUUGGAUACAAACAUCGGUGAGAUGUGGAGAACUUUAAUCCAGUAUUUAUCUGUCAAUCUGUGCUGCUGGAGCCUUGUACAGUGAGUGCUUGUGUUCAUGCAUUUCAGUGUUUGAGUCCGUGUAGGCAGACGGAGAGGUAGUGUGUAUGGUUGAGGAGGCCUCCCCAGUGUGUUGUACUAAUGGCCUAGUCACAAGGAAUCACAAUGUUAUUAAAUAAAACAACAAACCACAGCCAAACAGUCAUAAUUAUAAUGUACAGACAAAAAAAAAGAAACUUGUACCUCUUUAAGAAAACAAAGAAAUCACAUGUGGCGGAUCUGACGGCCACAGAGUUGCUACAUUUGUCUGGAACGAUGUCUAAAUUUGCCCCCCGGGCACAAAAAAUCUUGGACUGUACAAAUCCAAAGAAAGAAAAUACUAGUACACAGAUGUCCUUCAUGUGUUUGUGUGAUCGAACAGCAUCUUUGUGAGUUAAGGUUUGAUGGGCGGGCAGAAGACGAACAAUGAAGAGGAAGAGGAGGAAAGUGAAGAAGGAAGCAAGCUUAUUUUACAGCAAAAUGUUGGAUAAUGAAUCUAUGUUACUGCAGUGGUUAUUAUCAAUAUUUAGCUUUAUUUUUUCUUUUCUUUUUUUUUAAUAGUGUUUAAUCUAGACUGCAUUGUAUUUAUGUUUUUAUUUUGAUGAAUGAUCAAGUCCACAAGCGUAAUGUGGUGCUCAGACAGGUAGAGAAAUAUUGCGGCCAGACCUCUGAACUCUGUCUCAUCAAACUCACCGAGCACUGAAAGCAAAAUUCAGAUAUUAUAUUUGAUUACUUCUUUGAUUUAUUAUUUGAUCGAAUCAGUAUUCAAUUUUAGUUAUCUGCAGGGUUCCUACACAGUUGGAAUUUCCAUACUUUUCCAUAUCCUAAUUUGUAGAAUUAUUUUUGGAAAUACCUAAUUUUUUAUUUUAGGAAACAGAGCCCUCUCCGCUGCCGCCCCCUCCCUCUGGAAUUCACUCCCCAAACCCAUCCGAGACCGUACAGACCCCCAUACUUUUAAAUCACUCCUAAAAACACACCUUUUUAAAUUAACUUUUAACCCAUGAAAUAUUCUUUUACUGUGUUUUCAUAUUGUGUCUUUUUUAACCUUUUACAUUGUUAGUCUUAUUACUCAAAUUUUAUUUAUUUUAAAUUGUUUAUUUUUGUAAAGUGUCUUUGAGCACCUGUAAAAACGCGUUUUAAAUUAAUCUAUUAUCAUCAUUAUUUAUUAUAGUAUUUGGGACUUUGGAAAUAGUCUGGAAACGAUUCUUUUUCCAUACUUUUUAAGAGCUGGAAACGGAUCAAAUUUAUAUCCAUACUUGCGUAGGAGCCCUGUAUCUGACAUGUUGGUCAGAGAGCAGAGAGCUUUAACCAACAAAGAGGCAUCUAGGUUUUUAAAUCAGACUGAUUUUCACACGAUCUACAAAUGAGGGGUUAAGAGGUUCCUGAGGGCACCUCAGGGGUCUCAUUAAUUAAUUAAAGAAGUCAGUGUCUGUGAGCUUGUUGAGACUGUGGUCUGACUACAGGGUAUGAACCAGGGAGAGGGAAAGACUGCAGGGCUGCUGUCUCUUGUUCAUGAUCUGUGAGCUGUACUGGUGCUGCAUCUGUAAGGCAGUGAGCAGUGUAACAUUCAGUACAGAGACGAGGAGUGUCCCGUACUGUUAUAUGAAGAUAUCCAGAACCUUUUUUUUAAUCUAACGAGUCAGGACGAUUGAAUUGGAGGGUCACUGGCCAGGUGACAAAAAUAAAAGGACCUCACUGUGUAUCAGGGGUUUACCAGAGACACUGAGAUUCAAAUCCUCCUCCUAACAAUCAGUAACAGACUACAGGUUUAGGGUCAGGUUUCAGCGCAUCAAAAGAGCCUUCAAAUAUUCUUUUUUUUUUCAUAAGAGAUUAAUAUGUCGCUUAGUUUGAGAUUUCAGAAGUAGCGAAGAGUGCUUACAUGAUUAAAAUGCAGCUUCUGCCCCUCAACAAUAGUCUGCUAUUAUCUGAGAGACCAAAGACUGAGAGGACUAAAAGUAUCAGCCAAUGACUGAGGAGAAAAACCUUCAUUUGAUCCUUAAUUUCUACUUGAAGUUCUCUGCUGGCCUGUGAGUCGGUACGGAGUAAAAACAG